This 335-nucleotide unclassified non-coding RNA is filed under the name soil metagenome. Its description in RNAcentral is "partial contains 5.8S ribosomal RNA, internal transcribed spacer 2, and large subunit ribosomal RNA". The stretch from base 1 to 120 matches the Rfam family "5.8S ribosomal RNA", at positions 35 to 154 of the family's 154-position model. The record is from RNAcentral.
GAUGAAGAACGUAGCGAAAUGCGAUAAGUAAUGUGAAUUGCAGAAUUCAGUGAAUCAUCGAAUCUUUGAACGCACAUUGCGCCCGCCAGUAUUCUGGCGGGCAUGCCUGUUCGAGCGUCAUUUCAACCAUCAAGCCCCCGGCUUGUGUUGGGGACCUGCGGCUGCCGCAGGCCCUGAAAACCAGUGGCGGGCUCGCUAGUCACUCCGAGCGUAGUAAUACAUCUCGCUCAGGGCGUGCUGCGCGUCCCGGCCGUUAAAAAGCCUUAUUUACCCAAGGUUGACCUCGGAUCAGGUAGGAAUACCCGCUGAACUUAAGCAUAUCAAUAAGCGGAGGA